Molecule: ribosomal RNA, 253 nt
Filed under: uncultured bacterium
Lineage: Bacteria
Description: partial 16S ribosomal RNA
Rfam family: Bacterial small subunit ribosomal RNA
Source: RNAcentral
UACGGAGGGUGCGAGCGUUAAUCGGAAUUACUGGGCGUAAAGGGUGCGUAGGUGGUUUUGUAAGUUAUCUGUGAAAGCCCCGGGCUCAACCUGGGAAGGUCAGAUAAGACUGUAAGACUUGAGUAUGGGAGAGGGUAGUGGAAUUUCCGGUGUAGCGGUGAAAUGCGUAGAGAUCGGAAGGAACACCAGUGGCGAAGGCGGCUACCUGGCCUGAUACUGACACUGAAGUACGAAAGCGUGGGGAGCAAACAGG